GCUCGCAUAGCUCAGUUGGAUAGAGCGGCAGUUUCCUAAACUGCAGGUCCCAGGUUCGAUCCCUGGUGUGGGCG
This 74-nucleotide transfer RNA is filed under the name Nannocystis radixulma. RNAcentral describes it as "tRNA-Arg". It matches the Rfam family "tRNA". Rfam says of the family: Transfer RNA (tRNA) molecules are approximately 80 nucleotides in length. Their secondary structure includes four short double-helical elements and three loops (D, anti-codon, and T loops). RNAcentral also lists the same sequence under 2 other names. Lineage: Bacteria; Pseudomonadati; Myxococcota; Nannocystales; Nannocystaceae. The record is from RNAcentral.